UACGGAGGAUGCAAGCGUUAUCCGGAAUGAUUGGGCGUAAAGCGUCCGCAGGUGGCUAUGUAAGUCUGCUGUUAAAGAGUGAGGCUCAACCUCAUAAGAGCAGUGGAAACUACAUAGCUAGAGUGCGUUCGGGGCAGAGGGAAUUCCUGGUGUAGCGGUGAAAUGCGUAGAGAUUGGGAAGAACAUCGGUGGCGAAGGCGCUCUGCUGGACCAUAACUGACACUCACAGGACGAAAGCUAGGGGAGCGAAUGGG
Molecule: ribosomal RNA, 254 nt
Filed under: uncultured bacterium
Lineage: Bacteria
Description: partial 16S ribosomal RNA
Rfam family: Bacterial small subunit ribosomal RNA
Source: RNAcentral